Molecule: ribosomal RNA, 373 nt
Filed under: uncultured bacterium
Lineage: Bacteria
Description: bacterial SSU rRNA
Rfam family: Bacterial small subunit ribosomal RNA
Source: RNAcentral
CAGCAGCCNCGGUNAUACNUAGGGUGCAAGCGUUGUCCGGAAUUACUGGGCGUAAAGGGAGCGCAGGCGGACCGGCAAGUUGGAAGUGAAAACUAUGGGCUCAACCCAUAAAUUGCUUUCAAAACUGCUGGCCUUGAGUAGUGCAGAGGUAGGUGGAAUUCCCGGUGUAGCGGUGGAAUGCGUAGAUAUCGGGAGGAACACCAGUGGCGAAGGCGACCUACUGGGCACCAACUGACGCUGAGGCUCGAAAGCAUGGGUAGCAAGCAGGAUUAGAUACCCUGGUAGUCCAUGCCGUAAACGAUGAUUACUAGGUGUUGGAGGAUUGACCCCUUCAGUGCCGCAGUUAACACAAUAAGUAAUCCACCUGGGGAGU